Molecule: ribosomal RNA, 253 nt
Filed under: uncultured bacterium
Lineage: Bacteria
Description: partial 16S ribosomal RNA
Rfam family: Bacterial small subunit ribosomal RNA
Source: RNAcentral
UACGUAGGGUGCGAGCGUUAAUCGGAAUUACUGGGCGUAAAGCGUGCGUAGGUGGUUCGUUAAGUCUGUCGUGAAAGCCCCGGGCUCAACCUGGGAAUGGCGAUGGAUACUGGCGGGCUAGAGUGCGGUAGAGGAGAGUGGAAUUCCCGGUGUAGCAGUGAAAUGCGUAGAGAUCGGGAGGAACAUCAGUUGCGAAGGCGGCUCUCUGGACCAGCACUGACACUGAGGCACGAAAGCGUGGGGAGCAAACAGG